GCAGUCGAGGGGCAGCGGGGAGGUAGCAAUACAUUCUGCCGGCGACCGGCGCAUGGGUGAGUAACACGUAUGGAACCUGCCCGUAGCAGGGGGAUAAGCGGAAGAAAUUCCGUCUAAUACCGCGUAAUAACUCCGAGAGGCAUCUCAUGGGGUUUAAAGGGUGACACCGGCUACGGAUGGCCAUGCGGCGCAUUAGCUAGUUGGCGGGGUAACGGCCCACCAAGGCGACGAUGCGUAGGGGUUCUGAGAGGAAGGUCCCCCACACUGGUACUGAGACACGGACCAGACUCCUACGGGAGGCAGCAGUGAGGAAUAUUGGUCAAUGGGCGCGAGCCUGAACCAGCCAAGUCGCGUGAGGGAAGACGGUCCUAUGGAUUGUAAACCUCUUUUGUCGGGGAGCAAAAGACGCCACGUGUGGCGUUCCGAGAGUACCCGAAGAAAAAGCAUCGGCUAACUCCGUGCCAGCAGCCGCGGUAAUACGGAGGAUGCGAGCGUUAUCCGGAUUUAUUGGGUUUAAAGGGUGCGCAGGCGGAAGAUCAAGUCAGCGGUAAAAUUGAGAGGCUCAACCUCUUCGAGCCGUUGAAACUGGUUUUCUUGAGUGAGCGAGAAGUAUGCGGAAUGCGUGGUGUAGCGGUGAAAUGCAUAGAUAUCACGCAGAACUCCGAUUGCGAAGGCAGCAUACCGGCGCUCAACUGACGCUCAUGCACGAAAGUGUGGGUAUCGAACAGGAUUAGAUACCCUGGUAGUCCACACAGUAAACGAUGAAUACUAAUUGUUCGGGGAGAAUGAUCCCUGAGUGAUACAGCGAAAGCGUUAAGUAUUCCACCUGGGGAGUACGCCGGCAACGGUGAAACU
This 855-nucleotide ribosomal RNA is filed under the name uncultured bacterium. Its description in RNAcentral is "bacterial SSU rRNA". It matches the Rfam family "Bacterial small subunit ribosomal RNA", at positions 57 to 901 of the family's 1533-position model. The record is from RNAcentral.